RNAcentral lists this ribosomal RNA (397 nucleotides) under uncultured bacterium. Its description in RNAcentral is "partial 16S ribosomal RNA". It matches the Rfam family "Bacterial small subunit ribosomal RNA", at positions 523 to 918 of the family's 1533-position model. The record is from RNAcentral.
AUACGUAGGGGGCGAGCGUUGUCCGGAAUGAUUGGGCGUAAAGGGCGCGUAGGCGGCUUUGCAAGUCAGUAGUGGAAGUCCAUUUUUCAAGGAUGGAAGUGCUACAGAAACUGCGGAGCUUGAGUGCAGGAGAGGUUAGCGGAAUUCCCGGUGUAGCGGUGAAAUGCGUAGAGAUCGGGAGGAACACCAGUGGCGAAGGCGGGUAACUGGACUGCAACUGACGCUGAGGCGCGAAAGUGUGGGGAGCAAACAGGAUUAGAUUCCCUGGUAGUCCACACUGUAAACGAUGAAUGCUAGGUGUAGGAGGUAUCGACCCCUUCUGUGCCGCAGUAAACACAGUAAGCAUUCCGCCUGGGGAGUACGGUCGCAAGAUUAAAACUCAAAGGAAUUGACGGGG